Molecule: non-coding RNA, 2453 nt
Organism: Aegilops tauschii subsp. strangulata
Lineage: Eukaryota; Viridiplantae; Streptophyta; Magnoliopsida; Poales; Poaceae
Source: RefSeq, a predicted model, not a curated record
ACACUUCCUCAGGUAACACCUCCUCCCUCCCGUGAAACCUUCCCUCAUGAAAAUAACAAGAGAAAAGGAAAUAAACUUCCACCCCUCUCUCCCACGCUACCUCUCUUCCGCCGCCGCCACCUCCCAUCCAAGAUCCUCUGGCUCUGUCGUGCAUUCCACCGGAGGAAGGGCCCCUUCCGAGACCCGCUUCUCCGCUGAGUCAGUUCGUGUGGGAGCCGUUGUCGUCCUCUCCCCUCAGUGCGCGGCGCCAGAGAGAGCGACAAGGAGGUCCAGCAGUCCAUGCCGCCAUCGUCCUACCUCGUUGUGUGGCGUCGAAGAGAAGGACGAGGAGGUUGAGCAGUCCGUGCUGUCUUCGCCAUCGCCUGAUCUGGUUAAAGUUGGAGCCACAAACUGGUGGAACCUCCCCCAGCUCCCCGCCCUCGCCCACAAGGACAAAGACUAGGUCAUGCUGCCCCCACCCCAUGAUGCCGUCUGUGUUGAUCUGAAGCCCGGAGUGGACGGGGAUGAGGUGGGAGUGGAGAUGCAAGUCGUCAGUAGACGGGAGGCGAUGCCGUUGGUACCGGUCAUACAGGUGUUGGGGUCGAUGGAGAGCACCGGCGGAGGGUGCCAUUUUCCUCGCGUGACUCAUCAGAUCUGACCUUACGCCGGCGCCGGCUGUUGACGGAGCCGUCACACUGCGGCCCGGUGCACCCAUGGCCUGUGAAAAUCAUCAAUCAUCAUGUUCGAUGUCACCUCCCAGCUAAACUACAAGAACGUUCCCACAUGGCACAGAGACAUCUGCAGGCAUUCUUAUCUGGCAGACCAGGCAGGUGGCGACAACCUUUUGGAUGAACAGAGGCAUGAUCUUUACAAUGAAGCACAAAGUUUGUCAGACAUUCUUGAUAAAGAGUCGAUAUAUCUAACUAUCCAAGCUACCAUUGAUGAAGCACAAGAUGCUGAAAAUGUGGAAAAUCAUAUUUCACUGGCUAAAAUGUUAGAAGUGAACCAGGAAGUUAGUACCGCCAAAAGUAAGAGUGUGCGCCGACAUCAAGAAGGCGGAUAUUAUUUUCGGUAAAACAUGACCCUUUGAUUGAUUUGGGUUCAUUACUCAACUUUGUACUGCUUCUCAUAUGACUGCCACCUCCAUAUAAAUCUCAUUUGGAUUCAGUUCUGUAUUAUUGCAGCUACCAGAACGAUUCAAGCUCUAUUUGGAUUUAGUCCAUCUGUGCUUUUGAUUAUGUUUUUGUAUUCUUAAUUUUAUUUGUCGCUUCAUGUAUAUAUGUGUUAUGAAUAUUCACCUAGAGCUUGAUAAUCUACAAGAGGAGGUUUAUACUUGUUUCUCAAGUAUUUUCACUAAACUACUGAUUACUCUCGGCAUCACUGUCUAACACAGUUUGUAAUGAUAUUGUUGUGUUCUACAAUAUCAUAUUUCUUUAUCUCCUGCCUUCACCUCUUUACUACUUUCCUUAAUCAAUGUUUGUUUCCUUUUGUACUGAUUACUUUCAGCAUGCCUGUCUGACAUGGCUUCCAAUGUCAAUGGUAUUAUAAAUAGAAUCAUUUGUGUUUUCUCAAUUUUAGAAGCUGCUUUAACCAUCUGCUAUGUUUUCGAACUUCCACUUGUCUGGUUUUGAAAAAUGAUCUUUAACUUAGCUGUAUAACUUCAUGUCUACUUUCUCCCCUACGUUUACAGCUUAGCUAUGUUGUUCUAUAACUGAAAUAUCUAUUUCCAAACAAACAGUGAUAUUUAUGGCUGUUGCAUAUGCUACUUUAACUUUUUUUCUCACCUAGAUCGAACUGAAUGCAGGAACACCUGGCGGAAUCCAGUACUUUGGAGAGCGCGAAGAUCACUGUUACUUGGGUAAUGAAGUUAAGCUCUAUGAACACCAUGUAGAUGCUCUCUUUGCUAUGCUUUGGCACAAAAAGGCAGACAUCAACUACUACGUGUGCACCAUCAAUAAAAUAUUUGCCAAGCCAGGCCAGCGCAUGUAUUUCCAGGUCCACUAUAUGGAAGAGAACCUGCUGGAGUACAUUGAUCUACAUGAUGAUACACUCAUCGCCAGGCUCAUAGAUGGCAUCUACUCGCCGAAUGUCGCAUUAUGCUAGGAACUGACAAGAGGGCCACUACCACCACCAACUGGUCUGAGUUUUGUCGCCGUGCCAACAUUCGCGAAGGAGACAUCUGCGAUUUUCAUUUCAAGGUUACUGCAAAGUGUCGCCUUGCUCUCACUGUUUACUGCCUCUAGAUGGACCAUCAACGACAACGCAAGUCGUCUCUGAAUAUAAUCUAGCACUCUUAAGUACAACUAAUUAUGCUCUAUGAUGUGAUGAACCUACAGUCUACUUUUGGACACUGCUAUCAGGUACUUUUGAAGAUCCAACACCUAUGUCGUUGCCUAUGUAAACUCUGCUGUUGUCACUUUCCAUAAUGACACUCUUGUGUACAACUAUUUAUUUCUAUUGCUAUUCUCUUCAAA